Long non-coding RNA from Cydia pomonella (codling moth), 1741 nucleotides. RefSeq lists it as uncharacterized. Lineage: Eukaryota; Metazoa; Arthropoda; Insecta; Lepidoptera; Tortricidae. The transcript is spliced from 2 exons. The record is from RefSeq and is a predicted model, not a curated record.
CUAACUAAGGGCUCAAUGGACGCUCGAAGCGAAGCGUUCGGCGGGGCGUGCAGUGUGGCGUCGGGCUCUCAAGUGAUUUGAGCAGCGUGCACUAAGGCCGCUCCUAUAAGUUUGCAUUUAUUUAACAUGCACGCCGCGCCCUGCUGCACGCCCAACUUGAGCAUCCACUCAGGCUUUAGACUUAGAGCUGGCGGCCUAACCGUAAUUUGAUAGAAAACGCCAAUCGGAGCUUAAAUAAUGUAUGUAUAUAGUCACGUGGCUUUUUGUAGUAUUUAUCAUCCCGAUUAUUUUUUUUCAAGUCGUUUGGCGUUUGUCGAAGUAAUAUCGUCAUCUACCAGGCGCCCUGGUAUCCUAACAUUAUUUUUUUGUGUCGAGCCCCCUUCAUGACAAUCAAACGAAUAUCUGGUUACCUUUAUUAGUAAAUUUGGGAUCUCUUCUCGUAGGACAGAUGCCGUUGAAGAAAUACGAAUAAUCGGGGAUAUCAGGAGCCAUAAUUUAAAACGUGCCGAAGGCGACCGCGAGUCUCAAGUGUCGAUUUUAUCUUUAGGGAAGUGUAUAGGUAGAUAAAAUGAUACUCGUUUGUAAUGACAUAACGGUGCAGGCAGAUGUUAAUUAAAGAUACCUCAUUAGUUAUAGGUAUUCCUUACCUUCACGACGCUGCUGUCCUUUGAACCAAGAUUCCGGAUUGGGAUAAAGGAUAGGGAAUAAAUUAAGUUCCAAGAAAUGCAAUAAAAAUACAGCGUUUUUGAAAAUUUUGAAAACGUUUUAUUUUAUUGAAUAAAGGGAAGUAUUUGACCACAAUCUCACCUGACGCUAUUAUGGAUUGAGCAUGCUUACCUAAAAGAUGUCUAUUUCAAAAUAAGGAGGAAAUAUUGAAAAAUGGAACCCCCUCACUUUGGAUAAACUGAGAACUGAUUAAGGGGUUUGUAAUUAUUAACCACAAAUCCCCCAUUAAUCACCGAUUAAUUUAUGUAACUCCUAAAAUGUUCUUUUUUUGUAGUACACGUGAACAUAAACUGUACAAGGUUAAUAACGAAAAUAAAAUCCUCUCUUUUCUCCUCUUUUUCCCCCUAUUAGUGUAGGUACGAUUCAUGAUAAGUGACAAGAAAUGAUGAUAAUGAUCUAAUUAUAUGACUAAUAAAGUCUCCAAUGAAUGAAAUGCGCCAAAUUUAUCACUUAGGCCAGAAAUGUCACUUAGGAUUCAAAUUAAUUAUCUAUAUUAGUAACAUUAGCAGCGUUUUGAAUGUAACUAAUAUAAACAAAUCAAACCAUGUGAUCAGGUCAUCCUGCUAACCAAAAUACUUAAUGUAAUAGUGAACUGGUCCAAUAGCGACCUGAUUCCUAUUUUUGCAACGUUCGCUAAUAAAAGGAUGAUUCGAUUUCGCAGCAACCGCAGGGAGAAAAAAAAAGGAUAGUUGUAACACAUCGUGACACUUGCAAUCGACACUACAUGCGCUGACGCAACAUGGUCAACAUGGACGCAUAAGUAAAAUAUGCUGAACGACUGCGUUUUUGCACUUGGAAAUUAUGGUAUUAUUCUAACUACAUUAACACACUAUAAAUUAUAUUCAGUAAGUGAGGAUUGCUAUAACUUCACGUUAUAUAUAGGUACUAACAGCAUCAAUCGUGGAAUACGUUCAUACUGAGUAUGACUUUCCUGAAAACCUUAGACAAAAUACCGUACACCCACCUUCAAGGCAGGCAAAGAACUUAAAACUGUUAUAUAAAUGUAUAAUUUGCA